GCCCAAGUGCUGAAAUGGUAGACAGGCUGGCCUCAGAAGUCAGUGUACGCAAGUACGUGGAAGUUCGAGUCUUCUCUUGGGCA
RNAcentral lists this transfer RNA (83 nucleotides) under Pseudomonadales bacterium. RNAcentral's name for it is "tRNA-Leu". It matches the Rfam family "tRNA". Rfam says of the family: Transfer RNA (tRNA) molecules are approximately 80 nucleotides in length. Lineage: Bacteria; Pseudomonadati; Pseudomonadota; Gammaproteobacteria; Pseudomonadales. The record is from RNAcentral.